UGCAUGUUUUCUUUUCUUUGGAGGGAGAGUGUGAGUGUGGUGGUUUUCUCUUUCUUUACAUGGAUGUAUUCCACAAAUGUUUCUUCACUACAUAUUUUCAGCUGGUGAAAAUUAUUUUUCCUCUGAGUCUGAAAAUAUUUCAAGUAGACCCUGAAUUAAAACUAUGAGGAAAUCACCACUGCAAAACUGGAAUUUUAAAACUAAUGUUUUUGCAAAGAAGAAAAAUAUGUGUUUGUGCCCUUUGGCUGAUCUGUAACUGCAGCAUGGUAUUUUCAGCAUUCCUUUUUUGAACAUGCAAAAUAUUUUCCAACCUCUCAUCCUGUUUUUUUAGGAACUGUGCCAGACUGCAUGCAACUUCUGAAACCAAGGCAGUAGCAGUGUGGCACUAUAAAACUUGCAUAGUCUAUUUUAUUGAAAUAUAUAAUGCCAAGAUGAUGCAUCCUGAAUACACAGGAAAGUGGAGUAAAUUAAGCAGAGCUGGUGAUAAACAUGUUGAUCUCACUGUCUGAAGACCCACUGCUUUUAAUCUUACUCUUUCUCUUGGUCCAGGUGUCUUACGUGCUUAAAGAUUUGUUCCUGACUCAUGUUUCUCAGCUGACCUAUGACCUUGGUUUGGAAAAGACCCAAACCAACCCAAACAACUUGGGGAAGAUUUUAAUCUUAAACUCAAGCUAAAGAAUUUGGGUCUUUUAUUUCCUUCCUGUGCUGAGAGUAGAAUCAUCAGGUUUGAUCAAGAGGCUCUAAAACCUUAAGGGACUCUUGAUGGUGAGAUUCCAGAACUCGGCCCAAGUGGAGGCACAGAUGCUGGAUGUCUGCAAUGAAGAUUUGAGAGUGAAAAGAGUGACAGCAGGUUUAUCUGGAAAAGAAGAUACAGAGCCUCAGUGCAAUGUGCACAGCUCAUUGCUGCUAAGAGAAGGGGGUACAUUAAGAACAUCUCCUGUCCCAACACUUCCUUUUGUGUGAUCUCUAGCUGCCUGG
Molecule: long non-coding RNA, 978 nt
Organism: Parus major (Great Tit)
Lineage: Eukaryota; Metazoa; Chordata; Aves; Passeriformes; Paridae
Exons: 4
Source: RefSeq, a predicted model, not a curated record